UUUACUAAUUGUACAUACAAACUAUAUUAUAAAACAUUAGUUUUGUAUUAGUAGUUUGUUUUACAGAGCUAAAUUUAACAUAAUAGUUUAUAGUUACAUAGAUGCAAGGUAUGUACAAAAGAAAACCUAAAAAAAUUAUGGGACCACACACACAUACAAUUGUACACAUUUUGUUGAUUGGCGACACUAGGCGUCUAGCCGCAAUGGUGUCUAAGCUGAAAUCUGCGAGCCAUUUUGUCUGGCACAAAGGCGACAGCGACGGCGACCGGGAACCCUACAGACGGGCGACUCGACUGGCGUCUAAAGUUGUACGAGUUAGGAAAUACGACUCCCAG
RNAcentral lists this long non-coding RNA (335 nucleotides) under Drosophila guanche. The record is from RNAcentral. Lineage: Eukaryota; Metazoa; Arthropoda; Insecta; Diptera; Drosophilidae.